AAAAAACUAAAAUUUCUCUCCAUAUAUCGUACUACUAUGUAAUUUAAUUCUUAAAAAAUUCGGGCGUUUUUUAAUUAAUAUACAUUUGCUAAUGUCUAAAUAUCCUCUGUAAUGGAUAAUUUUUUUAAUAAUGUAAAAAUGAUGUCUUCUUCAUUAAAAAGCUAGAUUAUUUCGCUUUUCCUUCAUUUUCUUAAUAGCACAUACGUUCACAUUACUAUCGAUCUAAAAUAGAGUAAUUGCGGGAAAGCUUGUAAAUAGAGUUUGCAAUUUUAAUAAUUCGCAAACAAUCACAAAUUCAAUUGCUCUGCUGUACCCUAUUUGAUUCAGGACAUCAAUAUAAAAAGAUUCUCAUCGUUCUCAUAAAUCAGUAUUAGUCAAAAUGUCAUUCGAAAAUGAACAUCUGGGUAAGAAAUAUUGCCAUAUUAAAAAAAACAUAGGUAAAAGACCAAACUAUAAACUUAUUUGUAGGUAUAAAAUUAACGCACUUUCUCUGUGUAGAUCUGAUUAAAAAAAGACCAGUAAAAUUCCUAAAAAAUCUUAUUUUCUUUCAGUACUUCGUAGUCCAAAUAAUACAAACCUAUUACUUUCUGAAAAUAUUUGAAAUCAGGUUUUUUGUAAAAUAUGCGCCUGUAUAUUUCGGCACGUAUUUUCUACUGUUUGUUAUAAUCGUUUCAUGGUUUUCAGAAAAUAUAGACAAUUACACCACUGCCCAGUUCGACAAGUGGGAACUUGAAAACAUGACUCAAACCUUCGAUGAAAAAUUAUAUAAAAAAAUUAAAACACCAUCAAUGAUUGUUUCAAUCGUCAUUAUAACAAAUUUCGCUUUGGCUUUAGUGUCUGGUUAUUUUCACAUAUUGCCUGACGACGAUGAUAAAGAAAUAUUCUUCAUUUUCAUUUUCGUUGAAGAACAUUUUCCGAAAUGGCAGUCGGUAAUUUCGUGGGCAAUUCGUUCAACUUACAUUUUUACCGCCUACUUUAUGAUUUAUCCCAUCAAUACUCUAAGCUACUUCAUGUGGAGACUCAAAUUUCACAUGUAUUUCUAUUUGGAAAAUAUCAAGAAAAUCAAUGAGGGACGACCGCAAAACGAAAAAAACAUAACCACAUGUAUUCCUUUUCAAAAAGAAGUGAGAAAAAGAUUGAUACGUUGUAUUAAACGCCACACGGAAAUUGCUCAUCUUUAUACUUUAACAAAUGGUAUUUUCGGCACAAUGAUUUUAGUAUGCGCCGUUCUUGGAGGCCUUCUAAUGGUCAGCACAGCGUUUUUCG
Long non-coding RNA from Tribolium castaneum (red flour beetle), 1266 nucleotides. RefSeq lists it as uncharacterized. Lineage: Eukaryota; Metazoa; Arthropoda; Insecta; Coleoptera; Tenebrionidae. The transcript has 3 exons. The record is from RefSeq and is a predicted model, not a curated record.